RNAcentral lists this ribosomal RNA (253 nucleotides) under uncultured bacterium. RNAcentral's name for it is "partial 16S ribosomal RNA". It matches the Rfam family "Bacterial small subunit ribosomal RNA", at positions 524 to 776 of the family's 1533-position model. The record is from RNAcentral.
UACGAAGGGGGCGAGCGUUGCUCGGAAUCACUGGGCGUAAAGGGUGCGUAGGCGGGUCUUUAAGUCAGGGGUGAAAUCCUGGAGCUCAACUCCAGAACUGCCUUUGAUACUGAAGAUCUCGAGUCCGGGAGAGGUGAGUGGAACUGCGAGUGUAGAGGUGAAAUUCGUAGAUAUUCGCAAGAACACCAGUGGCGAAGGCGGCUCACUGGCCCGGUACUGACGCUGAGGCACGAAAGCGUGGGGAGCAAACAGG